GACGAACGCUGGCGGCGUGCUUAACACAUGCAAGUCGAACGGAAAGGCCCUGCUUGCAGGGUACUCUAGUGGCGAACGGGUGAGUAACACGCGGGUGUUCUGCCCUGCACUUCGGGGUAUGCCUGGGAAACAGUGUCUAAUACCGCGUAGAAGCCCUCUUGAGUGUGGUGGUUGGAAAGUAUUUUCGGUGUAGGGUGAGCUCGCGGCCUACCUGCUUGCUUGUGGGGUGAUGGCCUACCAAGGCGGCGGCGGGUAGGCGGCCUGGGUGGGUGGACGGCCAAAUUGGGGCUGAGAUUCGGGCCAGACCCCCACGGGAGGCAGCAGGGGGGAAUAUUGCACAAUGGGCGCGAGCCUGAUGCAGGGACGCCGCGUGGGGGAAGACGGCCUUCGGGUUGGAAACCCCUUUCGCCAGGGACGAAGCUUUUUGUGACGGUACCUAGAAAAGAAGCACCGGCUAACUACGUG
RNAcentral lists this ribosomal RNA (465 nucleotides) under uncultured bacterium. RNAcentral's name for it is "partial 16S ribosomal RNA". It matches the Rfam family "Bacterial small subunit ribosomal RNA", at positions 28 to 507 of the family's 1533-position model. The record is from RNAcentral.